This 579-nucleotide ribosomal RNA is filed under the name Hepatozoon felis. RNAcentral's name for it is "partial 18S ribosomal RNA". It matches the Rfam family "Eukaryotic small subunit ribosomal RNA", at positions 239 to 813 of the family's 1831-position model. The record is from RNAcentral. Lineage: Eukaryota; Apicomplexa; Hepatozoidae.
AAAUUUGGUGAUUUACAAUAACUUAGCAAAUCGCAUAGUGAAAACUGGCGAUAAAUCAUUCAAGUUUCUGACCUAUCAGCUUUCGACGGUAUGGUAUUGGCUUACCGUGGCAGUGACGGUUAACGGGGGAUUAGGGUUCGAUUCCGGAGAGGGAGCCUGAGAAACGGCUACCACAUCUAAGGAAGGCAGCAGGCGCGCAAAUUACCCAAUUCUAACAGCAUGAGAGAGGUAGUGACAAGAAAUAACAAUACAAGGCAGUUAAAAUGCUUUGUAAUUGGAAUGAUAGAAAUUUAAACACUUUUUAAAGUAUCAAUUGGAGGGCAAGUCUGGUGCCAGCAGCCGCGGUAAUUCCAGCUCCAAUAGCGUAUAUUAAAAUUGUUGCAGUUAAAAAGCUCGUAGUUGAAUUUCUGUUAAAAAUAACCGGUCUGCUUUUAAUAAAAGUGGUAUCUUGGUGUGUUUUUAGCAAUAAUGUCCUUUGAAAUGUUUUUUACUUUAUUGUAAUAGAUUAUAUUCAGGAUUUUUACUUUGAGAAAAUUAGAGUGUUUCUAGCAGGCUAACGCAAAAAAAAAUAUAUAGGGA